GGGAUAUUAGCUCAGAUGGUAGAGCACUUGACUUUUAAUCAAGCUGUCCGGGGUUCGAAUCCCCGAUGUCUCA
This 73-nucleotide transfer RNA is filed under the name Clostridiales bacterium. RNAcentral's name for it is "tRNA-Lys". It matches the Rfam family "tRNA". From Rfam's summary of the family: Transfer RNA (tRNA) molecules are approximately 80 nucleotides in length. Their secondary structure includes four short double-helical elements and three loops (D, anti-codon, and T loops). Lineage: Bacteria; Bacillati; Bacillota; Clostridia; Eubacteriales. The record is from RNAcentral.